This 76-nucleotide transfer RNA is filed under the name Desulfohalobium retbaense DSM 5692. RNAcentral's name for it is "tRNA-His (GTG) (tRNA-His-GTG-1-1)". It matches the Rfam family "tRNA". Rfam says of the family: Transfer RNA (tRNA) molecules are approximately 80 nucleotides in length. Their secondary structure includes four short double-helical elements and three loops (D, anti-codon, and T loops). The record is from RNAcentral. Lineage: Bacteria; Pseudomonadati; Thermodesulfobacteriota; Desulfovibrionia; Desulfovibrionales; Desulfohalobiaceae.
GUGGGUGUAGCUCAGUUGGUAGAGCGCCUGGUUGUGGCCCAGGUGGUCGCAGGUUCAAAUCCUGUCACUCACCCCA